This 253-nucleotide ribosomal RNA is filed under the name uncultured bacterium. Its description in RNAcentral is "partial 16S ribosomal RNA". It matches the Rfam family "Archaeal small subunit ribosomal RNA", at positions 474 to 727 of the family's 1478-position model. The record is from RNAcentral.
UACCAGCACCCCGAGUGGUCGGGACGAUUACUGGGCCUAAAGCAUCCGUAGCCGGUUCUACAAGUCUUCCGUUAAAUCCACCUGCUUAACAGAUGGGCUGCGGAGGAUACUAUAGAGCUAGGAGGCGGGAGAGGCAAGCGGUACUUAGUGGGUAGGGGUAAAAUCCGUUGAUCCAUUGAAGACCACCAGUGGCGAAGGCGGCUUGCCAGAACGCACUCGACGGUGAGGGAUGAAAGCUGGGGGAGCAAACCGG